ACCAGGAAUGGUGGCACACCCCUGUAAUCUCCGCUGUGGAGGAUGCUGAGGCUGGCAGAUCUCUUGAGCUCAGGAGUUCUGACCUGGAGUUCACUAGGCUAAUCAGUUGUCACUGAGUCUAGCACCAAUAUGGUGAGCCCCUAGAGAGGGACAGGGGUACACCAGAUUAUUUAAGGAAGGGUGAAAGAGCCCAGGUCAGAAAUGGAGCAAGUCAAAGUUCCCAUGUUAAGCAGCAGUGGAAUCAAGCACAUGAGUUAUCAUUGAAAUUCUAGCCUGGGAGAGUUAGGGACUCAGA
Molecule: signal recognition particle RNA, 295 nt
Filed under: Phascolarctos cinereus (koala)
Lineage: Eukaryota; Metazoa; Chordata; Mammalia; Diprotodontia; Phascolarctidae
Description: Metazoan signal recognition particle RNA (ENSPCIG00000027639.2)
Rfam family: Metazoan signal recognition particle RNA
About the family: The signal recognition particle (SRP) is a universally conserved ribonucleoprotein. It is involved in the co-translational targeting of proteins to membranes.
Source: RNAcentral